This is an RNA transcript of Alosa alosa (allis shad), 2832 nucleotides long. It is a transcript of the gene named transmembrane protein 68, with no coding region annotated. The transcript is spliced from 9 exons. NCBI's taxonomy places the organism in Eukaryota, Metazoa, Chordata, Actinopteri, Clupeiformes, Clupeidae. The record is from RefSeq and is a predicted model, not a curated record.
GUGUCACAUGCAUAGAGUGCCGGUGAAUAAACCAGGGAAAUUGAAGAAAAUUGCAGUCAACGUAAACGUUCGCUGUCUAAUAAUAAACGGAAAACGACUUCGCCACGACAGCAAUAUGGUUAACAUUAAAGUGUGAGAUUCAUGGGCAUGUAUUGUUCAGCAAUACUGUCACUCGGGAAAAGGUCUGCCCGGCAGCAGAUGGUCAUCUUGCUCAGCCCAGCAGUGUUCAUCGGGAGCGGCUAACCGUGAAGCAGCAUGUCCAAUGGGAACGAGUCCUGUAUGUUAGGGAAUGGCUCCUCCGGCUUCAUGUCAUGCUUGAUUCUACUCUGGGAAGAGUGGGUCGGUGUGGGACACCUGGAGGACUACCUCAGCUACCUAGAGUACCUGCUGUGGGUGUUCACACCCCUGGCCAUCGUCUUCAUCCUGCCCUUCCUCAUCGUGAUCUUGCUGUAUCUCUCCAUACUCUUCCUGCAUGUGUAUAAGCACAAGAACCAGCUGCGGGAGGCCUAUUCCAACAACCUGUGGGAUGGCGCAAGGAAAACCUUGGCAACUCUCUGGGAUGGUCACGGAGCCAUAUGGCAUGGUUAUGAGAUCCAUGGGUUAGAGAAGAUCCCAGAUGAAGGAGCUGCCCUUAUAGUCUACUACCAUGGGGCUAUUCCCAUUGAUUAUUACUACUUUCUGGCAAAUGUUAUCAUUCAGAAGGGACGCACCUGUCAUUCCGUGGCAGAUCACUUCCUGUUCAAGGUUCCUGGCUUCAAGCUGCUGCUGGAGGUGUUCAGUGUGAUCCACGGGCCGCAGGAGGAGUGUGUGAAGGCCCUGCGCAGUGGCCACCUGCUGGGCAUCUCUCCCGGCGGCGUGCGGGAGGCACUCUUCAGCGACGAGACCUACCCGCUGCUCUGGGGCAAGCGCAAGGGCUUUGCUCAAGUGGCCAUCGACUCCCAAGUGCCAGUAAUUCCUAUGUUUACACAGAAUGUUCGAGAAGGAUUUCGCUCUCUUGGAACAUUAAAAUGUUUCAGAUGGUUGUAUGAAAGAUUUCGCUUCCUGGCUCCUGUGUACGGAGGUUUCCCAGUCAAAUUCCGUACUUUUCUCGGUGAUCCCAUUCCAUACGAUCCCAAACUUAACGCGGCAGAGUUGGCAGAGAAGGUGCACGAAGCUGUUCAAGCACUUAUAGAUCAACACCAAAAAAUCCCGGGUAAUAUUCUUCGAGCUCUUCUAGAGCGUUUCCACAGACGACCGAAAGAAGCCUAGUCACUUCCAAUGUAUCAGGUCACUUCCUGUGUAUCAGGUCAUUGUUAAUUCAGCACUACAAGUGGACGUUGGCACUAAGGAUUGAUGUAUGUUACUGAUAUGGCUCAGCAGCACCAACUGGUAGUUGUCUGUGACACAAAGCCACAUUUAUAAUAAGAUGUGUCUAUAGAGAAUCAAGAUGACUGCUCAACUAGUAAUAAGUGUGUGUGUGUGUGUGUGUGUGUGUGUGUGUGUGUGUGUGUGUGUGUGUGUGUGUGUGUGUGUGUCAUCAUUUGGAGAUUGGUCUUUAAUUUAUUUGCACAAUUUGCUUUGUUUAAAGGACCACUGCCAAAUUAGUUGAUUUUGUGAAAAGCCUUAUGUUUAUUUUAUAAAUGUUCAACUUAAAAAGAGGUCAGUGUUUUUUUUUUAAUAGAUCUGUGUGAAUAACUGAAUUGGUGAAAAAUGGAACUAUAACCGUAUUAGUGUGAAAUGUAUUUGUAAAACACAGUGUGUUGAAUCAAGUUGUUAUUUAAAUUCAUGUUGACUUGAUUUGCCCCUCCACCAAAAAAAGUAUGAUGUAAUAAAUUCACAAUUUUAUUUCUAUCAGAGGGCACUCAAUCUCAAUGUUUAAAAAAUGAAUAAAUGUAUAUUUCACAGAGAAUCAGUUGUAUGAUCAAGUUUGCAUGUGAUCUAUUUGUAAAUCAUCAGUUAUAUAACAAAUAUCUUAUUUUUUUUCUUUAUUUGACUUACACCACACCUGUAAAUGGCAUCAUGUAGAAAUGAUAGGGACAUAUCUAUUUUUAUCAAUCACUGUAUUUGACUGCACUACAGUGGUAAAGUGUUUAACUAUCAUGGUUUAUGCUCUGAGACCCCUAUGUCUCCUCUAAUGCUAAUCAAUAAUGAUGCAAGUACAGUAAUAUUACAGCUUUGUUGUGAAAAUGUACAUUCCUAAUUAACAAGUCUAUUUUAAUGAGGGGAAAUAUGGUAAUUGUAAUGGAUAUGAUCAAGGUGUGUUUCUUUUUUGAAUUUAGAGCCUAAUCCCUUUCUUUGCUCACAAUCUAUUGUGAGCUGCCCAGAAACAGAACAGCAGAAGGUGGACAGUUUAAAGGACCACCUUUAGCCAGUUACUAGUGCCUGAGGUGUGGAGUCCCAGCUGGUGACCUGUCCCCCAAACUACUCUUCUUUCUGCUCCAUGGCACCAGCACAAAACUCUACAUGAGGUGUGCAGUAUGCUUACACCACAUAGUAGCAUUCCUCUGCAGGAACAUGGCACGGCAUUCACAGAGCCUUUCCAAGGUUACAGCGGGUAACCUCAAUGAACUUGGCAGAGGAGUCUGAGAAAAUGACCACAGUGUACUUUAUUCAAUGAAUUUUGGUACUUUGUGUUGCAUUAGAAUCAAAUAAAAAUUUACAAAAAUCCCAAUAUAUACAAAAAUGUCAUGUUCUUUUUGAUUUUACUCAUUUAAUUUACAAUAAAAUCUGAUUAACAUAUUUUAAUGCAUUUGAAGCACUUCAGACUUCCAUCACACAAUGCAACUUACUCGAAGGACCGAUAAUAAACAGUUUUUUAUAUUUUAGUUUUUUUUUUCAUCUUUUAGUACAUCA